Molecule: ribosomal RNA, 484 nt
Filed under: uncultured bacterium
Lineage: Bacteria
Description: partial 16S ribosomal RNA
Rfam family: Bacterial small subunit ribosomal RNA
Source: RNAcentral
AUUGAACGCUGGCGGCAGGCCUAACACAUGCAAGUCGAGCGGAUGAGUGGAGCUUGCUCCAUGAUUCAGCGGCGGACGGGUGAGUAAUGCCUAGGAAUCUGCCUGGUAGUGGGGGACAACGUUUCGAAAGGAACGCUAAUACCGCAUACGUCCUACGGGGGAAAGUGGGGGAUCUUCGGACCUCACGCUAUCAGAUGAGCCUAGGUCGGAUUAGCUAGUUGGUGAGGUAAAGGCUCACCAAGGCGACGAUCCGUAACUGGUCUGAGAGGAUGAUCAGUCACACUGGAACUGAGACACGGUCCAGACUCCUACGGGAGGCAGCAGUGGGGAAUAUUGGACAAAGGGCGAAAGCCUGAUCCAGCCAUGCCGCGUGUGUGAAGAAGGUCUUCGGAUUGUAAAGCACUUUAAGUUGGGAGGAAGGGCAGUAAGUUAAUACCUUGCUGUUUUGACGUUACCAACAGAAUAAGCACCGGCUAACUUCGUG